Molecule: long non-coding RNA, 774 nt
Filed under: Ananas comosus (pineapple)
Lineage: Eukaryota; Viridiplantae; Streptophyta; Magnoliopsida; Poales; Bromeliaceae
Description: long non-coding RNA (ACOM_LNC004839)
Source: RNAcentral
GUAAAAUUAUUUCCGAUUAUAAAUAUUCAUUUCUGCCGUUUAGACCACCGUAAAGUAAAUUCAUAUGUAACUCCACUCUCUCGUAAUAUCGUAAUUGACUUCGCUAUGGGAGUAGGGAUGCAAACGUUGUGGAUUUGGAGGCGAGAGCCCCGCCUCGCCUUCUGCCCCGACUAUCAAAAUUUCGUCAUGCCUUUCGUCCGAAUUCGUGACGGGUUAAAAAAUAUAUUCUAUAAUCCUCCCCGCUUUGUAACCCAUUUUCCGCCGGCGCCUUGAAUCUGUCCUGCUAACUAAUAUUUUUUUAUAAAAUUAUAAUAUUAUUAACAUUUUAUAAAAUAUAAAUUAAUAUUUUUUAAUAAUAUUAUAUAUAUAAUUAACAAUAUUAAUUAUAAAAAUUAAAAAUAUCAAUCACAAUUCGAAACAAAAUUUAAAAUUUCAAAUGCAUGAAAAAUGAGAGCACUAACUUAUUUGUAUUUUGGACUUUUUUGUAAAUACAUUAUUUUUUAGGGAUAUUUUUUAAAACAUAAAUAAUUUUCAGGCGAAUUCGGGGUGGAUUCGGGCUGGAUCAUGGCGGGCCGAAUUCGGGGCAGAUUCGAAGUGGGUCAAAAUUUCUCCUAUUUCCUAUCCUGAAUCCGCCUCAGGUCAUAAAAAUUAUUCCUUUUUCGUCCCGAAUCUGUUUAUUUUCUUUCAUUUACUAUUCUAUUCGGAACGGAUCAGAACGAAAGCUCCACCAAUCCGGAUCCGUUUCCAUCCUUAUACGGGGAAUACCAAAGUCAA